CGUACUUGCAUUGAAAAGCACCAUAGAUGCAUUGGCGUCCGUUGGAGAACCGAUGAGAGAAAGCGAUCAUGUGAAUGCAAUUCUAAAUGGCCUAACAGAAGAGUAUGGAUCCGUAAUCACAUCAGUAGUUGCAAGACCGGUUAGCAUCACAGUUGGUGAACUUGAAGCACUUCUACUAACACACGAAAGCAUGCUUGAAAGGUUCAGAAGACCAGAAGCAUUAGUCCAGGCUAAUCUUGCUCACACAAGAGGUGGAUUUUGAGGAGGAAGAUUAGGCAGAGGAGGAAGACCUUCAUACAAUGACAACAACAGAUUUGAGCAAGGAAGACAAUUUCAGAACAGCUAUUUCCAGAAGAACAACUUCCAGAACAGUAAUUUCCAAAACAAUAAUUUCCAGAAUGGUGGCAAUUUUCAAAUUUUUCAGAAUAACUCAAGAUCUACUUCACAGUACAAUGACAAUUCAAGAUUCACUCAAAGAGGCCACAAUGAAAAUCCAAGAUUCAUGCAGAAUGGUGAGCGACAUGUGUGCUAAGUCUGUGAUAAGAUUGGCCACACUACCAAGAAUUGUUAUUAUAGAUAAGAAAGGGACAACAACUAUGGAGCUGACUUGAGGCCUGAAAUGCACAACUCACAAGAUUCACAAGCUAGCCAAUCUUCUUCUCAACCACCUCAUGCACUACUUGCAACUCCAGCAACUAUUCAUGGUUCAAACUGGUAUUUGGACUCUGGAGCAACCCACCAUAUGACCUCAGAUCAACAAAAUCUGAUGGAAGGACAAGCCUAUGAAGGAUCAUACCAAGUGAUCGUAGGGAAUGGUUCAGGAACCAGCGAAGUAGUUAUCCAGGGAGUAGUCGAAAAUGGAAUGUACAAAUUUCUUCACUUCAAACCAUCAACCAAGUCUGCUUGUGUCUCAACAUUGUGCAGCAAGGACAGCUUCUUGCUCUGGCAUAAUAG
Molecule: non-coding RNA, 954 nt
Organism: Arachis ipaensis
Lineage: Eukaryota; Viridiplantae; Streptophyta; Magnoliopsida; Fabales; Fabaceae
Source: RefSeq, a predicted model, not a curated record